Molecule: long non-coding RNA, 729 nt
Organism: Carassius auratus (goldfish)
Lineage: Eukaryota; Metazoa; Chordata; Actinopteri; Cypriniformes; Cyprinidae
Exons: 3
Source: RefSeq, a predicted model, not a curated record
AGUCAGUUCGGCAGUUCGGAGCGUGAAUAAUUUGGGUCAGUUCGGGAGUUCGGAGCGUGACUCAUUUGAGUCAGUUCGGGGGUUUGGAGCGGCAUCGCGGCAUGAGGAACACCUGCUCCACUCAACGGUCUUGCAUCCCACAUAGGAGAUCGGAGGGAUACAAAAGAGGAGCGAUGACAGUAAAGGACGAGAGAGGACCAGGCCUGGACUUUAUUUUGUGUUUGUGCGUGACAGUCGUCUGCGAGGGGCUGGCACGAUGUUUUGUCUUUAUUUUAUUAUUGAAGCUUUGUUUGAUUGUCUGCCGGUUCCCGCCUCCUCCUUCCUGAGAUUGUGAAGUUUUUAUGCCGUUACAGUAAUGUUGAGACUUUAUUAAACGAUCAUCUACGAAAAUACAGUGUUAUCAAUGUACUUUCAGGGAGGGACUUGUCAGCAAAUCUACUUCACAGCACGUCAGUGAAAGCAGUUGACAGUUACAGACGUGUGUGUUGGAUCAGGGUCAGGGUCAGAUCUGAAUUCUGCAGGUUUCCUGGGAUGACUGUUGAAGAGAUCAGCACAUCAGAUGUUGGCCUGGACAGCUGUACCUACAGUACACCACACUGACUUCCUUGCAUGGAUAGCUGACUACUACUGUUAUGUUCUGUGAAGGCCCUGAAUGGUUUUGGACUGGUCGUGUCCACAGAAGGCUCCAUCUUCUAUGCCUCUCACACCAUUCAGGACUUCCUGGGUUUC